GCGGCACCCGGGACGCGCGGCUCCCCCUGGCUGCGCGGCGGCGGGGGGUGAGGGGGGCGGAGGGAUGGAGGGCGGGAGCCGCGCUGGUGAGGAGGAGCCGCCGCCGCCGCCUCAUCCUGCGGCACCGGCCGGCGGCGUGAGGAGCCCGGCGAGCGCAGGUGGCAGUGUAGAAGCCAGGAACAAAAAUUGGCAGAAAUUAUAUUCUGUGUACGAGAAAAUGAAGAGUGUACUCAUGACUAAGCACAGGAACCUGGAAAACCACAGGCUUUAGUCAGGUGAUCGCUGAUGACUAGUCAGCCCACCAAGAAGGGAGUUCAGCACACAGGUAAGAGAGAAGCCGUAUACUCUUCCAUGCAACUGGGGGAUGCGGGGUGGGGAGGUAAACAUCCCGAACAUUGUUUGCAUAGUUUAAAAAAAAAAAAAAUACUCCUGACUUGCUUGGGUGCAUAACACUGUGAUUGUGUCUUUCAAUGCUGCUACUUUUGCUAUUCAGUCUUGUUCUUGCAUUUUUGUUUUUUAUUGUGUUUUGGUUUUUUUUCCUUUUCUUUAAAUCUGUCUUUAAUUAGAAGCUUUAUUGGAAAAAAAAGACCAAUUGUGUGCUGCUAAAUAUAGUCCUGGGUAUUGCAUGAAUGUUGCAUUCUGUUACUUUUUGAAUAAAAUAACUUUCCAUAAUGCA
RNAcentral lists this long non-coding RNA (676 nucleotides) under Calidris pygmaea (Spoon-billed sandpiper). RNAcentral describes it as "lncRNA (ENSCPGG00000010130.1)". Lineage: Eukaryota; Metazoa; Chordata; Aves; Charadriiformes; Scolopacidae. The record is from RNAcentral.